CAUGUGCUUGUCGUGUGCAACAGGGAGGGGCAAUUGAAUGCAAGCUUCAUAAAAAACUAAAACAUUUUGAAAAAAUGUCUAGCCUGUCUAUCUCUGGGUAACAGGGUUGUGCUCGACCCGCUCAGUUUUCCACCACAAAACACCAGGAAAUGGUCAAAAAGAGUAGAACCAGCUCACCUGCUUUUACACUAUGAUUAGAUGUUCAACAUUUCUUUAGAAAAAAAUACAUUUAAAAAGGAAGAGUUUCACGAUAUUAAAAAGAUAGUUCAGUUCACGUAAGAGGGUUGAACUUAAUUAUCUUCAGAAAUGACUAGGGCUUUACAAUGAUGGUGAAGACUUGGAGAAAUGUUGGGGUUACAUGGGUUAAAAUCUUCCUAAAAGUCACAUAGGAUGCACAGAGGGACAAUUUUGGCACUUUAGCAAGUCUUUAUUCAUAUCAAAGUCAGAUUUAUCGAAUUUUCCAAAAGAUCUAUAUUAAAGGGCACUUCAUUUAAUAACACAGGCUUCAAAAAUGCUAUAUUUGUGCACAAUGUCUACUUGAAAUACCAAAGGGAUGCAAAAAGCCACUCAUUUUAUGGAACGACCCUACUAACUUACCAAGAGACAUGGGCGGGGUUUUGUGACUGAAAACAUAUCUGAGUCUAUAGCUUAGUAGAGUAAGUAAGUAAAUGAAAUGAGCAUUAGUUAAUUAAGGUGUGGUUUCAUGUCUAGACAAGAACCACUAGCGUGGGAUGCUUAUGGUCAACGUUCAAACAUAGGGUAUGAUCGCACAUAUUAUGACUUUAGCUAAUAAAUCAUGUAUUAAUGAAAAUAUACAUUUAAAUGCAGACAGUGGUUGUUGUUCAAAUUCCUUUGAUCCCUGUAUGGAGCGGUAGUAUUGUGGGUGGUGACAGACUGUGACAAACUAAAGUAAAUAGGCAUGAUUUGCUUUCCCUUCUACUGACACAAUCAGUACCACUGCUGCAACUAACUGUCCAAGUGAUUGUGCAUUUAGUCCCAGUUCUAGAACAGCACCAUAACACAUCAGUAAGUAUCUAGCUCACCUCUGGUGCGUCCUGCAGAUCUGGCUCAGUAUUUCUAUGUGUUCCUGUCCAGUGCUGUUGGUCUCAGCUGGGGAGGUGCUCUCUGCUACUCUACUCCAGAGGAAACAGACUGCAAGGGACCAAGGGAAAUCCACCCAUGACAGAACAUGCAAAAUACUAACGACCUCGCCACACACGAAAAUACCCCACCUAUAGAAACUCAGAAAAUAAACAUCAUAUUCCGCUCUGCCCAGCACAUCUGGAAACACGUUAUCUUGGUUACCCAGAGGUCAAAUUCUCUCGCGAACGUUUGUCAUUUCCUAUUUGACUUCUGGGGAAAAUGCCGUUAACAAUUGUGAUAACCUUUGUGCAAAGGAAGGAAGCGAAGUCUCCUCCCUCUCAAAUGGAAAUUAUAGGCCAAACCCCUUCCUUCAGCUAAUUUCACCUGUGUUUAUAGGCCAAAAGAGACUGUUGUUUUUAUAAAUUUUUACAAUAUAGCCAAUUUUGACUUUGUGUCUGUGGAAUCUAGGUAAUGGGUGCGUGCUGGUGGCAGGAAGUCAGGCGCAGGAGAACGAACUUGGUAUAAACUAAGUCGUUUAAUAAGUGCUCACAAAACUCUGAAAACCAAAAUAUACAAAAUAAUAAAAGUAGGUACAAAACCCGUCGCGCACCAGAACAUAACUUGCACAUCACAUACAAAGAAACAACCAAUCACCGACAAGGACAUGAGGGGAAACAGAGGGUUAAAUACACAACAUGUAAUUUAUGAGAUUGGAACCAGGUGUGAUGUAAGACAAGACAAAACCAAUGGAAAAUGAAAAAUGGAUCAGCGAUGGCUAGAAGGUCGGUGACGUCGACCGCCGAACACCGCCCGAACAAGGAGAGGGACCGACUUCGGCGGAAGUCGUGACAAUCUAGUAGAAACUGUUUAUCAUCUGCUGGGAAAUCACUGCACAAGCACCUCCUUGGCCCAAUCCUGAUUCGUUCAAAUAAUCAAUGAAGAAAACCCCAAAACAGGAACUGCUGCUGCUCAUAAUCACAUAGUUUUACGUUGUCUUGACAGAUUCUCGCAGUUUCGUCUCUCCACGAGAAUCUGUCCACAAGAGAUUAGGAAACACUGCAAAAAAAAUGGUUCCUUUCCUUCAGUCAGUUGAAUGGAUCUUAAAGUAACAUUAUAAAUACUGUCACCACAGUUCCCAGAGUGACAUCAUAAAUCACUGGCACCACAGUCCCCAGAGUGACAUCAUAAAUCACUGUCACCACAGUUCCCAGAGUGACAUCAUAAAUCACUGUCACCACAGUUCCCAGAGAGACAUCAUAAAUCACUGGCACCACAGUCCCCAGAGUGACAUCCUAAAUCAGUGUCACCACAGUCCCCAGAGUGACAUCAUAAAUCAGUGGCACCACAGUCCCCAGAGUGACAUCAUAAAUCACUGGCACCACAGUCCCCAGAGUGACAUCCUAAAUCCCAGGCACCACAGUCCCCAGAGUGACAUCCUAAAUCAGUGUCACCACAGUCCCCAGAGUGACAUCCUAAAUCAGUGUCACCACAGUCCCCAGAGUGACAUCCUAAAUCAGUGUCACCACAGUCCCCAGAGUGACAUCCUAAAUCAGUGUCACCACAGUCCCCACAGUCCCCAGAGUGACAUCAUAAAUCAGUGUUACUACAGUCCCCAGAGUGACAUCAAAAAUCAGUGUCACUACAGUCCCCACAGUCCCCAGAGUGACAUCAUAAAUCAGUGUCACCACAGUCCCCAGAGUGACAUCAUAAAUCAGUGUCACUACAGUUCCCAGAGUGACAUCAUAAAUCAGUGUCACCACAGUCCCCACAGUCCCCAGAGUGACAUCAUAAAUCAGUGUCACCACAGUCCCCAGAGUGACAUCAUAAAUCAGUGUCACUACAGUUCCCAGAGUGACAUCAUAAAUCAGUGUCACUACAGUUCCCAGAGUGACAUCAUAAAUCAGUGUCACUACAGUACCCAGAGUGACAUCAUAAAUCAGUGUCACUACAGUUCCCAGAGUGACAUCAUAAAUCAGUGUCACCACAGUUCCCAAAGUUUAGAAAGAAAUACACUGCAAUUCAACAGCUCCAUUAAAACAAAAGACAUAGUGGAGAUAAGUAUUAGCAAUGUGAUGGCAAGGAUACAGUCCUCAUCCAGGGAGUAGGCCUCUGCUAUCUGUGAAGAACGAGACAUAGAGAGAGCAAGAGAGAGAGAGAAAGAGUUAACAUUUGGCAAUGUUAGCAUAUGUUUCACAUGCCAAUAAAGUCCUUAAAUUGAAAUUUAAUUGAGAGAGAGGGGAAAAAAACACUACAAACCGACCUGCUCACUCAGAAUCAGACUUGUAUGUCAGGGUUUUACUUAAAAAUAUAAUGUGUUCUCAAUAUGUUACAUAAAGAAAUACAUAAACUAGAUAAAAUAAUUUACUUUCUAAAUUAAACUAUUUUAUUACAAAGUUUUUUUGCUGAAGAAAAAUGAUAUGCUUGAUUUAGCUGCAGACUCUAGAAUAGAUAUUCUCGUGCUUGGUAAUGAAGUCUUGGAAGGUUUAGGGAAAAAAGACUCAAGAUGGGACUCAGAUGUCACGUGGUAAAUAACAAGCCGUUGUGUGUCAGAUUCACUUAUAACAUGACGCGCAGCAGAACUCAAAACAACUCUGUAGAGCCACACACAUACUCCAGAUGCCAUGACAUUUCCCAUAGAGGUCAACGUCUGUUUACAAGGAGUUUACUUCUCUUGGUCAGUUAUUUUGCCAAUGCUCCACUGAAUUGUACCAGUCUGAUCACAGAGCAACUCUUUCUUCUGUAUCAGUGUAUAAGAGGCCCGUCCCAAUUGGCACCCUGUUCCCUGUAUAGAACGCUACUUUUGACCAGGGCCCAUAUGGGAUGACCAUAUGUAGGGAAUAGAGUGCCAUUUGAGACCCAGCCCUUAGUGUAUCAGUGUUGCCGGUCCUUUCUAUGGGACGUCUAAAUCAUAGAUGGCUCUUUGUUCCAUGAUGACCAGAAUUGGCAAAGAAAGAAAAACAACUACAAGGCUAUUACAGUACUAUGGGGGACAACACAGUGACAGAAUAAGAUUAGAACAGUGUACAGAGAAAGGGCAUCAAAGAGUAUCUGAAAUUAAUCCCAAGGAGUACCUUUAAAAAUGUGCUUGUCUUGUCCUACUGGCAGUGAAUUUGCUGAUUACUUUAAUGAGGGAAACGAUUACAUGUUGUUGUCUCACCAUGCUAUCUUUAGAUGAAUGCACUAACUGUAAAUCACUCUGGAUAAGAGCAUCUGCUAAAUGACUAAAAUGUCAAAUGUAAUGAUUACAUUUCUUAAAGCUUGAUUUAUUCUCCCUACAAACAAAAACAAAACAGAACGGAAAGGCAAGAUGUUUCAGUGGCAAAAAAAUAGGUGACAGAAGAGGAUGGUACAAAACACAACCAGCCCUUAGGACCAAUCCACAGAGGACCAGAACACAGAGGACUGUGUGAGGGUGAACACACACACACACACACACACACACACACACACACACACACACACACACACACACACACACACACACACACACACACACACACACACACACACACACACACACACCUGGUGUAGAGACUGUGGCAGCAGUGUGUGGUCAUUGUGUUCUCCCAAUGACUGUAGUGAGGCUAGCAGGUCAGGGCUGGGGCCUGGGGGACCACUUCCUGAAAGCACACACAAUGUCAUGUGCAAUACAAAGUUGAUGAAUAGAGAUGCAGUGGAAUGAAUCGGUGUAACAUUUUAAAAGGUAUGCAGUAGAAUGAAUAGGUGUAACAUUUGAAAAGGUAUGCAGUAGAAUGAAUAGGUGUAACAUUUGAAAAGGUAUGCAGUAGAAUGAAUAGGUGUAACAUUUUAAAAGGUAUGCAGUAGAAUGAAUAGGUGUAACAUUUUAAAAGGUAUGCAGUAGAAUGAAUAGGUGUAACAUUUUAAAAUAAUCUGUUAGAUUUUACAUUUUGAGGCUACUCUUAAGGUGUUAUCAUGGCAGCUAUAAAGAGUAAGGACAUUCUAAUGCUCUAGUAGCAAAGAUACAAUUUGUGCUUGUCUUUUGAAACAGCUUUAGGUAGGUGACCCAGAUAUACUACACAUACAGUACUGAACGAGAGGUGUG
Molecule: long non-coding RNA, 5146 nt
Filed under: Salmo salar (Atlantic salmon)
Lineage: Eukaryota; Metazoa; Chordata; Actinopteri; Salmoniformes; Salmonidae
Description: lncRNA (ENSSSAG00000098826.1)
Source: RNAcentral